This 253-nucleotide ribosomal RNA is filed under the name uncultured bacterium. RNAcentral's name for it is "partial 16S ribosomal RNA". It matches the Rfam family "Bacterial small subunit ribosomal RNA", at positions 524 to 776 of the family's 1533-position model. The record is from RNAcentral.
UACGAAGGGGGCUAGCGUUGCUCGGAAUCACUGGGCGUAAAGGGUGCGUAGGCGGGUAUUUAAGUCAGGGGUGAAAUCCUGGAGCUCAACUCCAGAACUGCCUUUGAUACUGAAGAUCUUGAGUUCGGGAGAGGUGAGUGGAACUGCGAGUGUAGAGGUGAAAUUCGUAGAUAUUCGCAAGAACACCAGUGGCGAAGGCGGCUCACUGGCCCGAUACUGACGCUGAAGCGCGAAAGCUAGGGGAGCAAACGGG